This 2930-nucleotide ribosomal RNA is filed under the name Escherichia coli. RNAcentral's name for it is "23S ribosomal RNA". It matches the Rfam family "Bacterial large subunit ribosomal RNA". Lineage: Bacteria; Pseudomonadati; Pseudomonadota; Gammaproteobacteria; Enterobacterales; Enterobacteriaceae. The record is from RNAcentral.
GGGUUGUGAGGUUAAGCGACUAAGCGUACACGGUGGAUGCCCUGGCAGUCAGAGGCGAUGAAGGACGUGCUAAUCUGCGAUAAGCGUCGGUAAGGUGAUAUGAACCGUUAUAACCGGCGAUUUCCGAAUGGGGAAACCCAGUGUGUUUCGACACACUAUCAUUAACUGAAUCCAUAGGUUAAUGAGGCGAACCGGGGGAACUGAAACAUCUAAGUACCCCGAGGAAAAGAAAUCAACCGAGAUUCCCCCAGUAGCGGCGAGCGAACGGGGAGGAGCCCAGAGCCUGAAUCAGUGUGUGUGUUAGUGGAAGCGUCUGGAAAGGCGCGCGAUACAGGGUGACAGCCCCGUACACAAAAAUGCACAUAUUGUGAGCUCGAUGAGUAGGGCGGGACACGUGGUAUCCUGUCUGAAUAUGGGGGGACCAUCCUCCAAGGCUAAAUACUCCUGACUGACCGAUAGUGAACCAGUACCGUGAGGGAAAGGCGAAAAGAACCCCGGCGAGGGGAGUGAAAAAGAACCUGAAACCGUGUACGUACAAGCAGUGGGAGCACGCUUCGGCGUGUGACUGCGUACCUUUUGUAUAAUGGGUCAGCGACUUAUAUUCUGUAGCAAGGUUAACCGAAUAGGGGAGCCGAAGGGAAACCGAGUCUUAACUGGGCGUUAAGUUGCAGGGUAUAGACCCGAAACCCGGUGAUCUAGCCAUGGGCAGGUUGAAGGUUGGGUAACACUAACUGGAGGACCGAACCGACUAAUGUUGAAAAAUUAGCGGAUGACUUGUGGCUGGGGGUGAAAGGCCAAUCAAACCGGGAGAUAGCUGGUUCUCCCCGAAAGCUAUUUAGGUAGCGCCUCGUGAAUUCAUCUCCGGGGGUAGAGCACUGUUUCGGCAAGGGGGUCAUCCCGACUUACCAACCCGAUGCAAACUGCGAAUACCGGAGAAUGUUAUCACGGGAGACACACGGCGGGUGCUAACGUCCGUCGUGAAGAGGGAAACAACCCAGACCGCCAGCUAAGGUCCCAAAGUCAUGGUUAAGUGGGAAACGAUGUGGGAAGGCCCAGACAGCCAGGAUGUUGGCUUAGAAGCAGCCAUCAUUUAAAGAAAGCGUAAUAGCUCACUGGUCGAGUCGGCCUGCGCGGAAGAUGUAACGGGGCUAAACCAUGCACCGAAGCUGCGGCAGCGACGCUUAUGCGUUGUUGGGUAGGGGAGCGUUCUGUAAGCCUGUGAAGGUGUGCUGUGAGGCAUGCUGGAGGUAUCAGAAGUGCGAAUGCUGACAUAAGUAACGAUAAAGCGGGUGAAAAGCCCGCUCGCCGGAAGACCAAGGGUUCCUGUCCAACGUUAAUCGGGGCAGGGUGAGUCGACCCCUAAGGCGAGGCCGAAAGGCGUAGUCGAUGGGAAACAGGUUAAUAUUCCUGUACUUGGUGUUACUGCGAAGGGGGGACGGAGAAGGCUAUGUUGGCCGGGCGACGGUUGUCCCGGUUUAAGCGUGUAGGCUGGUUUUCCAGGCAAAUCCGGAAAAUCAAGGCUGAGGCGUGAUGACGAGGCACUACGGUGCUGAAGCAACAAAUGCCCUGCUUCCAGGAAAAGCCUCUAAGCAUCAGGUAACAUCAAAUCGUACCCCAAACCGACACAGGUGGUCAGGUAGAGAAUACCAAGGCGCUUGAGAGAACUCGGGUGAAGGAACUAGGCAAAAUGGUGCCGUAACUUCGGGAGAAGGCACGCUGAUAUGUAGGUGAGGUCCCUCGCGGAUGGAGCUGAAAUCAGUCGAAGAUACCAGCUGGCUGCAACUGUUUAUUAAAAACACAGCACUGUGCAAACACGAAAGUGGACGUAUACGGUGUGACGCCUGCCCGGUGCCGGAAGGUUAAUUGAUGGGGUCAGCGCAAGCGAAGCUCUUGAUCGAAGCCCCGGUAAACGGCGGCCGUAACUAUAACGGUCCUAAGGUAGCGAAAUUCCUUGUCGGGUAAGUUCCGACCUGCACGAAUGGCGUAAUGAUGGCCAGGCUGUCUCCACCCGAGACUCAGUGAAAUUGAACUCGCUGUGAAGAUGCAGUGUACCCGCGGCAAGACGGAAAGACCCCGUGAACCUUUACUAUAGCUUGACACUGAACAUUGAGCCUUGAUGUGUAGGAUAGGUGGGAGGCUUAGAAGUGUGGACGCCAGUCUGCAUGGAGCCGACCUUGAAAUACCACCCUUUAAUGUUUGAUGUUCUAACGUUGACCCGUAAUCCGGGUUGCGGACAGUGUCUGGUGGGUAGUUUGACUGGGGCGGUCUCCUCCUAAAGAGUAACGGAGGAGCACGAAGGUUGGCUAAUCCUGGUCGGACAUCAGGAGGUUAGUGCAAUGGCAUAAGCCAGCUUGACUGCGAGCGUGACGGCGCGAGCAGGUGCGAAAGCAGGUCAUAGUGAUCCGGUGGUUCUGAAUGGAAGGGCCAUCGCUCAACGGAUAAAAGGUACUCCGGGGAUAACAGGCUGAUACCGCCCAAGAGUUCAUAUCGACGGCGGUGUUUGGCACCUCGAUGUCGGCUCAUCACAUCCUGGGGCUGAAGUAGGUCCCAAGGGUAUGGCUGUUCGCCAUUUAAAGUGGUACGCGAGCUGGGUUUAGAACGUCGUGAGACAGUUCGGUCCCUAUCUGCCGUGGGCGCUGGAGAAUUGAGGGGGGCUGCUCCUAGUACGAGAGGACCGGAGUGGACGCAUCACUGGUGUUCGGGUUGUCAUGCCAAUGGCACUGCCCGGUAGCUAAAUGCGGAAGAGAUAAGUGCUGAAAGCAUCUAAGCACGAAACUUGCCCCGAGAUGAGUUCUCCCUGACUCCUUGAGAGUCCUGAAGGAACGUUGAAGACGACGACGUUGAUAGGCCGGGUGUGUAAGCGCAGCGAUGCGUUGAGCUAACCGGUACUAAUGAACCGUGAGGCUUAACCUUACAACGCCGAAGCUGUU